UAGGUUCCCCUCCCUAUAGAUCCUUGUGGAGGAAGCGAGAGGAAGCGAGAGUGAGCGCAGCAACUACGGUCCGAGGCGCAACUGUUUAUUUCUCCUUAGAUCGUUGCCCAAACAUUCAAAAUUGCAGACAUGAGCUAUGGUCGGGGCCCCCCCGAUAUCAAGGGGAUGACAUCGCUCAAGGUCGAUAAUCUAACGUAUAGAACAACGCCAGAAGACUUGCGGCGUUCCUUCGAGAAAUAUGGCGAGAUUGGAGACGUGUACAUCCCACGAGACAGGUUUUCUCGGGAGAGCAGAGGCUUUGCCUUUGUCAGAUAUUAUGAUCGCCGAGAUGCAGAAGAUGCUAUGGAGGCAAUGGAUGGCCGACGUCUUGAUGGCCGAGAGUUGAGAGUGCAGAUGGCUCGCUAUGGUCGCCCAGAAACCCCUCCACAUCGCAGACGUCGCCGACGGUACUCGGACAAUUCCAGGUCGAGGUCGAGGUCACGCUCUCGUUCAAGGUCACGCAGGAGAAGCCGCAGGUCACGAUCACGAUCCAGGUCGAGGUCACGCUCCCGCAGGAGGCACUCUAGAUCAAGGUCUGGCAGCCACUCACGCUCCCGCUCGCGUUCAAGGUCACACUCCGGAAGCAAGAGCCGCUCUCGCAGCCCAGAAGAACGCGAAUCGAAGUCCCCGGAAAAGCAAGAUAAGGAGAAUGGAAUGGAUGAGGCAGCUGCUAUGGAGGAAGAGCAAAUGGACCGAUCUCACUCGCGUUCUAAGUCCCGAUCGCGUUCAAGAUCUCGCUCUAAGUCUAGGUCAAGAUCUAAGUCGCGUAGCAAGUCCAGGUCCAGGUCACGCUCAAGGUCCGUGGAGUGAGAUGCACUGAACUCUGGAUGUUGCAUCCAUUCAUCAACAAUCAACUAAAUCACUGCAUCACAAGAAGACUUCUCAAUUCCUGUCCAGAUUUUUGCAGUACUGGCAUGCUGGGCAGGGCGUGGCAGUUGUUGCUGUUGCUGUUGUGUUGCUGUGGAGUAUGGCGGGUUGCUGUAGUGCGGUGUUAUGGCGGGAGCCGAGGCAGAGCCAGUCAGGCAUGCAGCCGACGGGGGGGCCGCAAGGCACAGUACUGGCUCGCAGGGCACCAGACCACUCCACCUUACUCAUUAACAAACCUGUCAUUAUCCCAUACUGUCCUGCUUCACUCUUUAUUUUAUUUUAAUUGUUUUCUUUCUAAUGUUGAGUCUCCCUCUUACAUUUACCCCCUACAAAUUUUUUUUGGUUACACUUGUCUCCUUCAAGGAGUACAGUUCAAUAGAAAACUGUUACAAUAUUGACCUGAACAUUCCUUAGAAAUACCUACUUUACUAGUCAUGUUACCAUGAUUGGUACUGUUAGUAACAAGUGUACUAACUGAUUUAUCCUGUCCUGAGUGCUGACACUGUGGUGCCCUGUGAUGCUGUGGAGGCGACUGGCAGCUGUGUGCGGGCACCUGAGAGUGGUGACUCGCUGCAGCUGUGGUAACCCUUGCAACGCUAGGGAUGAAGGGUGGGAGGGUUAAAAAAAAGCACUGGCUUUCACAGGUCAUGGAACAAAAGUUUAAUCGAAAGUAGUCGUCUUAUUUAUUAUCAUUAUUAUUACUGUUAUUACUGUUGUUAUUUUUUUACAAAUAAUAAUAGUAGUAGUAAUAAUGAUGGUUAAUAAUAGUAAUUCGUUUUAUUUAUUUACUUUUAACAGCGCUGUUAUUAUUGUUCAUGUUGGAAAUUUUUUACAUUCAUUAUUAUAUUCUCUUUUGGUUGUAAAGCUUUAUUCGUUUACACAUUUUUCGUAAUGCUGUUUUAUUUUUUUAUUUUUUCACUUGUGCUCUUUACUAGCUGAUCCUUGGAUUAGGUACCUGCCUAAUGCAAUAAUCAGAGCACAUAUAUUUGGUAUUCAAUAUAAUUUUUUAUUUCCUUUUUUCAUAUAUUUGUUAAUUAUUUGAUCAUGAUUUUUUAUUUUUUAUUUUUUAUUUUUUUUAUUUUUCAUAAUUAAAAUGUUCACUUUCAGGUUUGGUUUCGUGUUAACAUGAAACCUUGUGUGAUUGGGUUACAUUUAGUUGAUGUUUUGAUGCCUAGUUAGUAGGCAUAAUACAUGAUUAUAAAACCUGCUGUUUGGAGUUUAGGAUUUUAAUUUGGUUCUUUUUCAGGUGGUGGUAAAAACUAAGUGCAAGAUUUAUUAAAAUAACCGUCCUUCACAGGGUGUUCACAAAGGUUUAAAAGAAACUGAAUUGAAUUAUAGCUUUUAUAAAUUCAUUGGAUUUAAUUAGAAUAUUUGACUUUCGAUAUUGCUGAAUGUUUGGUAAUACUAGAAUACAAUUCACAAUCUUCUCUCAGAUAAUUUUGAUUUGCAGAUUUGGCAAAACUGUAACAAUAUAUUACAAAUCAGAGCACACAUUCACACCCCACACGCGGUUAUUAACCUGUCCUUGAACGAUAUGCAGUAACAUCUCUCCUUUACUUGUAAUGUUUUUUAAGUUGAUAAAUGGGGCUAGAAGACUAACAUGCUCUACAGUACAGAAUUUGAAAUUUAAGAUCAGGAAAAAGAGUUACAGGCAUGAAUUCACUUAUUAGACUGAUUUUCUUAUAAACUACUUAAGUUAAUGUUAAGUGAUGUUUGCUGCUGUUAAAACAUGAAACUGCUGUUAUGAAAAAACAUGACAAGAAUUACUUUCUGCGCCAGUAUAAAGCUACCUUGAUUUUUUUUUUUUUUUUUUUUUUGUCAAAAUGGUUAUACCAUUUAUCAGAUUAUACAAAAGCUACACCCCUCUAAUUUAAAAAUACUUGGAAAUUCAUUUUAGCCUUGCUUACUACAAUUAUUGGAAUAUGCAGUAUCAUAUCCGUUUGUCAAAGCACCAUUACAGGCAGAGAAUUUACAUAAACCUAUUGCAAAUAUAUAACCACUUUCGUUUGAACUUAUUAUAAGGAAUGAGAAGGCUACAUUUGUGGGUUGCAAUUAUUCUGAGGUAAGUACAUAUUAUCGUUAAUAAACAGGUGCUUUUA
This 3005-nucleotide unclassified non-coding RNA is filed under the name Penaeus japonicus. RNAcentral's name for it is "serine/arginine-rich splicing factor 2-like, transcript variant X9". The record is from RNAcentral. Lineage: Eukaryota; Metazoa; Arthropoda; Malacostraca; Decapoda; Penaeidae.